AGUGAACGCUCGCGGUAGGCCUAACACACGCAAGUCGAACGGCAGCACAGUAAGAGCUUGCUCUUACGGGUGGCGAGUGGCGGACGGGUGGGGAAUACAUCGGAAUCUACUUGUUCGUGGGGGAUAACGUAGGGAAACUGACGCUAAUACCGCAUACGACCUACGGGUGAAAGCAGGGGAUCUUCGGACCUUGCGCGAUUGAAUGAGGCGAUGUCGGAUUAGCUAGGUGGCGGGGUAAAGGCCCACCAAGGGGACGAUCCGUAGCUGGUCUGAGAGGAUGACCAGCCACACUGGAACUGAGAGACGGUCCAGACACCUACGGGAGGCAGCAGUGGGGAAUAUUGGACAAUGCGCGCAAGCCUGAUCCAGCCAUACCGCGUGGGUGAAGAAGGCCUUCGGGUUGUAAAGCCCUUUUGUUGGGAAAGAAAAGCAGCAGGUUAAUACCCCGCUGUUCUGACGGUACCCAAAGAAUAAGCACCGGCUAACUUCGUG
Molecule: ribosomal RNA, 492 nt
Filed under: uncultured bacterium
Lineage: Bacteria
Description: partial 16S ribosomal RNA
Rfam family: Bacterial small subunit ribosomal RNA
Source: RNAcentral